UCCGAGUUGUAAUUUGUAGAGGAUGUUUUGGGUACCGCCCCGGUUUAAAUUUCUUGGAACAGAAUGUCAGAGAGGGUGAGAAUCCCGUCUUGGACCGGUGGUAGGGCCUGUGUGAAACUCCUUCGACGAGUCGAGUUGUUUGGGAAUGCAGCUCAAAAUGGGUGGUAAAUUUCAUCUAAAGCUAAAUAUUGGCCAGAGACCGAUAGCGCACAAGUAGAGUGAUCGAAAGAUGAAAAGAACUUUGAAAAGAGAGUUAAACAGUAUGUGAAAUUGUUGAAAGGGAAGCGCUUGCAACCAGACUUGAGCGCGACGGUUCCCCUAGCCUUUUGGCUAGGUUACUCCGUCGUGUCCAGGCCAACAUCGGUUCUGAGGGUCGGUCAAAGGCCCCGGGAAUGUACCUACCCACGGGUAGACUUAUAGACCGGGGUGUCAUGCGGCCUCUCGGGACCGAGGAACGCGCUUCGGCUCGGAUGUUGGCGUAAUGGUUGUCAGCGACCCGUCUUGAAACACGGACCAAGGAGUCUAACAUCUAUGCGAGUGUUUGGGUGUCAAACCCGGAACGCGGAAUGAAAGUGAACGGAGGUAGGAAGCUUCGGCUGCACUAUCGACCGAUCCUGAAGUUUACGGAUGGAUUUGAGUAAGAGCAUAGCUGUUGGGACCCGAAAGAUGGUGAACUAUGCCUGAAUAGGGUGAAGCCAGAGGAAACUCUGGUGGAGGCUCGCAGCGGUUCUGACGUGCAAAUCGAUCGUCAAAUUUGGGUAUAGGG
RNAcentral lists this ribosomal RNA (766 nucleotides) under Phialophora verrucosa. Its description in RNAcentral is "eukaryotic LSU rRNA". It matches the Rfam family "Eukaryotic large subunit ribosomal RNA", at positions 137 to 922 of the family's 3401-position model. The record is from RNAcentral. Lineage: Eukaryota; Fungi; Ascomycota; Eurotiomycetes; Chaetothyriales; Herpotrichiellaceae.